AGUGGGAUAGCUGGGUCAAAUGGUGGUUCAUUCCCAGUUUUCUGAGGAAUCUCCAUACUGCUUUCCAGAGGAGUUGCACCAACUUGCAGUUCCACCAGCAAU
RNAcentral lists this microRNA precursor (102 nucleotides) under Marmota monax (woodchuck). The record is from RNAcentral. Lineage: Eukaryota; Metazoa; Chordata; Mammalia; Rodentia; Sciuridae.